This is a long non-coding RNA of Epinephelus fuscoguttatus (brown-marbled grouper), 368 nucleotides long. RefSeq lists it as uncharacterized. The record is from RefSeq and is a predicted model, not a curated record. The transcript has 4 exons. Lineage: Eukaryota; Metazoa; Chordata; Actinopteri; Perciformes; Serranidae.
GUAUAAAUGAAAAGGAGGUCUUAUCUCUUGGACAGACACUUCACAUCAUCUGACACCAACGCUGAAUUUACAAAGGGACAUCACCCAAGCUGAACUGCCACAGACUCGGAAGCAGCUGUAGAGCCGGAGUAUCUGCCGUCCCGCUGAGUAAUCCAGAGCAUCACAACGCCCAGAGAAAUACAAGAUGGCUGCUGGCUGCAUCUCUCAUCGUUUUGAAUACCCUUCAAGGUUAUAGAGGAAACAAAGAGCAGCCUUGUACUCACUGAGCAGGUGGUAGUUUGAGUCCCUCUCAUAUUUGAAGGUCAGUCUUCCAUAGCUGACAUGGUUGAGAUUCUUCAGCCACUCGAAAUAAGACACUGUCACACCGC